CGAAUUGUCUGAGCACGAUGAAAUCCAUUCGGUUAACCCAAAACCGGAUGACUCGUAACCUAUAUCAUGUCGUAUGAUAUCGUCGCAGAUAGCCGUACAAAUCAUCGAAAUGUAUUCGAUAGCACUAUAUUAUAAUCAUUUGUGCAAAUCACAUCGUUUUGGAUUUGAGAGGAAGAAUACUGAGAUUUGAGUAACGAAACUUCAUUAAAACACGCCUGUUUGACGCCAGACAAUCAUCAUAAGCCUGCUGAAGUGAAAAGGAAAAUGAGUGCACAAACGGGUUUUCAAUACUGGGGCGAGACUGUCACAGGUCGCCAAAAUAUGUGUGCACAAUCGAGCUGUGGUUUUUUUUUUUAACAAACGAGUUUUAAAAAAAGGUAAAUGUGUGCAAACGAGUUGUAGCCAAAAUUUAAGUAGGUGUAAUAUUCACGUUCCAACGUAUAUUGUAUUAUAUGAAGGACUAUAUAUUUAUAUAACUUUAUAGCCUAUAUGUAGGUAUUAGGGUUUUGUCCCAGACAACGUAAAGGCAAUAAUUUAUUGAUAUCAUCACACCUAGAUUUUAUCCGACUGCCUUUUCGAUUAGAUUCGAUGAUAAAUAAAUAGAAGAGUUGUAGGUAACUAUUGAUUUCUUGAUGUGCGUUUAGUCAUAUUAUGCUUUAUCGGAUCAUUCACAGGAUAGGUAUAGGAUUGUUCAUCGACAUAUUUAUAACGUGAUGAAACACGAAGGUCUCUAAAACCUUUAAUCCGUUUGUAUCGUUUAAACCAUACUUUAUCUAUACCUUAUUAGUGUAUGCUAUAAACCGCUGUGACAUCUCUAUUUAUACCUACAAAGAUAAUAUAAAUAGAGUACCUUUUUUAUUUCGUGUUAUCGAUGACACUGCCGGCGUAUUACGUCGACAAUAAAUAGAGUAUCUUAGUACCUACUUGAAUAAUGAUUAAAAAAAAUCAAUAAUAAUUUUUACUUUCUCGGUUUUAAAUAUUUUUUGUUCGUAUGGGUAUUUUGUUUGAUCAUACAAAAUAUUAAGACUGGUUCAGAAUUAUUCUUCACUUCUGCAGUGUUGGUUACUAUUUGAUUUGAAAAGCACAAAUCAACCAAUAAACAACAUAACGCCAAACAAAUUUAACCUUCAAUUCUAAUCAAUUAGUUGCUUAUAAGUUUUGAGUGUCUAGAUAAAUUAUACAGUUAGUAAUAAAAUAUAAUCAACGGAGUACAAUAAAGAUCAAAAAUAUCUAAUUAAAAGACCAUUCAAAUACAACGGUAUAUGUUCCAUAUUUUGGGAACUCAACCGGAUACCUUAUCUCGAGUACAAUUAUUUUAUUCUCAAGAGUUUAUAGUCACGGAAAUAUCUAUAUCGUAUGUGUUCACACAACUUUUCUUCGUGUAUAUGCAUUAUUUAAAAAGUGUAGCUUAUAGUAAUGACUUCAUUCAUUACAUCAUCGUUACAUUAUAUGAGCAUUGGGCACGCUUGCGUCUAUAUCAUAAUUAAAAAUUGUAUUGAUUUUGCACGUAUUCAUGGACAGAUUCAGUGAAUUUAAUUGUUAAGUAUCAUUGGACCUUUGUACAAAUGUAAAAUAAAUCAAAUACCAAAAAUCUAUCUACUUCAUAAUUGUAUACAGUUUAUGCAUACGUUACAUAAGUACAAAUAAAAAAAUAAGCAAUUCGCAAACUCAAUAAAUCUUUUACAUUGCUAAAAAUCUAAAAUAACAAACGAUUAAUAAACACGAUUUAUAAUUAUCAUUUCAUACAGCUGUAUUAUUCAUAACACUUGUAUGUAGUUAAAGAAGUGUCCUGUUAGUAAAAAUUUGUUUUUCAAACAAUACUCAAGCACUCAUUUUAAAGAAGAAGUUGGUAUGGCUACAUGACGCUUCAUACAUUUUAAAAUAAAUCUUGCUAGAUAUUUGAAAAUAUGGUUAAAAGUAGAUAAGUAUAGUGUUAAAAACUCUAAAAGUCAGAAUUUUAACAAACCAAUAAUUAUUUUUUUUUUUAACACAGGUGAUAUGCUUGGUGAAUCACUUUAGAACGUUUCUGCAGAUUGUAUAUAAAUAAUAUAAAUUAAAAUCAAGUGCCUAAUCAAUCGAAAUAAAUGUUUAAUUGUUAAUUGUUUUUAUUUUGUUAUAAUCAUUUUAAAAGUAGUUCCAUUCUAGUUUUAUAGAUAGAAUACCUAUCAUAGGUACACUUUAUUUUUAAGGCAUCAACUGCAUGGUUAUUAGCUAGUUUUUACUGUAACAGAGUGAAAGGUUGGUUUGGAACACAUCUUGUGUGUUGCAAGGAUUUGUCACCAAAAGCCUCCGGAAAAUAGUGGUGCUGGCACUCGGAACACAUUUGUAUGAUACCAAACCCCAAGCCACCAAUAGAUAAAAUGAUUCAAUGGUCAAUCAAGUCGGACUUUCAGAAAGUAAAAAGUAAAAAUUGU
Myzus persicae (green peach aphid) is the source of this 2414-nucleotide long non-coding RNA. RefSeq lists it as uncharacterized. The transcript is spliced from 3 exons. Lineage: Eukaryota; Metazoa; Arthropoda; Insecta; Hemiptera; Aphididae. The record is from RefSeq and is a predicted model, not a curated record.